GUGCUCGCUUUGGCAGCACAUAUACUAAAAUUGGAGCAAUACAAAGAAGAUAAGUGUGGCCUCUGCACAAGGAUGACCUGCAAAUUUUUGAAUUGUUCCAUAUUAAA
Molecule: small nuclear RNA, 107 nt
Organism: Pongo pygmaeus (Bornean orangutan)
Lineage: Eukaryota; Metazoa; Chordata; Mammalia; Primates; Hominidae
Source: RefSeq, a predicted model, not a curated record